Molecule: signal recognition particle RNA, 282 nt
Filed under: Callithrix jacchus (white-tufted-ear marmoset)
Lineage: Eukaryota; Metazoa; Chordata; Mammalia; Primates; Cebidae
Description: Metazoan signal recognition particle RNA (ENSCJAG00000061619.2)
Rfam family: Metazoan signal recognition particle RNA
About the family: The signal recognition particle (SRP) is a universally conserved ribonucleoprotein.
Source: Rfam by way of RNAcentral
GCCUGUAGUCCCAACUACUCGGGAGGCUGAGGUGGGAGAAUUGCUUGAGCCCAGGAGUUCUGGGCUGUAGUGCGCUAUGCCAAUUGGGUGUCUGCACUAAGUUCAGCAUCAACAUGGUGACCUGCUGGGAGUAGGGGACCACCGGGUUGCCUAAGGAUGGGUGAACCGGCCCAGGUCGGAAACGGAGCAGGUCAAAACUCCCAUGCUGAUCAGUACUGGGAUCGCGCCUGUGAAUAGCCACUGCACUCCAGCCUGGGCAACAUAGCGAGACCCCCAUCUCUU